Oncorhynchus gorbuscha (pink salmon) is the source of this 330-nucleotide long non-coding RNA. RefSeq lists it as uncharacterized. The transcript has 2 exons. The record is from RefSeq and is a predicted model, not a curated record. Lineage: Eukaryota; Metazoa; Chordata; Actinopteri; Salmoniformes; Salmonidae.
GACAGGUGGAGCUGAAGUUUCCAGCUCCCUCUAAAACGGGGAACUACCAGUACUCUGUCAUCCUCCGCUCAGACUCUUACCUGGGUCUGGACCAGAUCAGACCCCUCAAGCUGGAGGUGCACGAGGCCAAGGCGGUGUUGGAUAACCACCCCCAGUGGGACAUCCCAGAAACGGAGGAGGAAGACGAGGAACAGGAGGACAGUGACGGGAUUGAGGAGAGCGAAGAGGAGGAUGAAGACAACGACUAAACACACACACAAACACACACAACCACCCCAGGGCAGUUUGUACACACACACAACCACCCCAGGGCAGUUUGUACACACACAC